Molecule: long non-coding RNA, 4367 nt
Organism: Papaver somniferum (opium poppy)
Lineage: Eukaryota; Viridiplantae; Streptophyta; Magnoliopsida; Ranunculales; Papaveraceae
Exons: 7
Source: RefSeq, a predicted model, not a curated record
AUUCCAGACACCCCUAGCAUAAAAUGUCAGCAUCCACCGCGAUGCUUUCUCAAAUACCCCCAAAAUUCCUACAUCCAAAACCCUAGUUCUCCAUUCUCACAACAUCCCGAUUCUUCCAACCCCGUUGAAAUUCUAGAUCCUAUUGAAAUCGCUAGUCGAGUACAUGAAUUCUUGUAAAAUGAAAUCAUAUCAAGCCUGAAGAGUUCUUGAAGUUUCUAGAAGUUCAAGAAUCUGUUGCAGUGAAACAAAAGACUCGCUGGUUUUAGGGUUCAAAACUUUAAAGUAAAUUCUAUCCAAGACGCAAGCAAAUCAGAAGGGGAGGCACUAAAGAGGUCUGCUCAAGCGCUGAAAUAGAAGUCCAUUGAUCGUAACACAAAAGUGGUAGAUGAAGUUUCAAAAGAACCUGCUAUUACUUCAAAGAAAAAGGUGCUGCACAAAUUCAGCACUGAAGAUGAUAGAAAAGCAGGAUAGGAAACAUGAAAGAGUUCCGCUCGAUAACUGGAUAGUGGAAGAUUAAGUGUCAAAACAGCCUGCAAUUGGUUUGGAGAAAAUGAUGCUGGAAAAUGACUUAGAGGAGGCACUAAAGAGUUCUUCUCGAGCAUUGUAACAGAUGUCCAUUGACCAUGAGGUCCAUAACAGAGAAUUGGUAGAUGAAGUUUCAAAACAACCUCCUAUUACUUCAGAGAAAAAGGUGCUGGGAAAAUUCAGCACGAAAGAUGUUAGCAUAGCAGAAGAGGAGGCAUUAAAGAGUUCCACUGAAGCACCGAAACAGAAGAUCAGUGUCAAGUGUUAAAACAACCCGCACUUGCUUCGGAGGAGAUGGUUCCAGCGCUAAAGAUGUUAGCAGAGCAGAAGGGGACACAAAAUAGUUCUGCUCAAGGACAGUAACACAAGAUCAGCGACCAUAAUAGAAUAGUGGAAGAUGAAGUGUCAAAACAACCGGUAAUUGCUUCGGAGAAAAUGAUGUUGGAAAAAUUCGGCACCAAAGAUGCUAGCAAAGCAGCUGAGGAGGUACUAAGGAGUUCUGCUCAAGCACUGAAACAGAAGUCCAUCGACCACAAGGUCCCACAACCUGCUAUUAUUACUUCAGAGAAAAGUUGCUGGACCCAAUAUGUCAAUUCGUUCACUCUGAUUGCAGUUUCUGAUUGAGGUGGCAAGCAUUUGGAGGAUUUAAGUGAUGAUAAUGAUGUUAAUAACAUGGGUAGUGAUGUUAUUACCGGCAGCUGUGGUAAAAUGUCAUCUAAAGUCAACGUGGUGAUAAUUACCCUUGUCCAUCUACAUCUGAAGAACAGAAUUGGGGAUUUGGAGAUGAAGUGAAGGAGUGUUCCCCUUCUAUAGAUCCCUUAAGUUGUGGCCUGAAUAAAAAAUCAUCUGAUAAGAAACGGGAUUCGUUUCUCCAAUCACAGGCGAUUCAUUGUCCAGAUUUCUUAAAAGAAGAGUGAUGUUGAACAAUCACACGAAGGUAAAAUAAAAAUCGGCAGCAUGUGGUGUUGGGUAUGACUUUGUGAAAUUCCUUCAAGAGAAUGCUGAUGCUAAUGGCAGAUUUUAGUGCCGUGGAUAAUUUAAACCUUGUUAUAAUUGAUAACACUAAAUAUGUUCAUAAACGCGUGGAAGGAUGCAUGCCUGGUGCACUCUGUUGACGAGAUUUCAUGUAACUUCUACCCAAGAUGCAAACAAAGUAGAAGGAGAGACACCAAAGACUUCUUCUCGAGCACUGAAAUUGAAGUCCAUCGAUCACUACCAAAAAGUGGUAGGUGACAACCUGCUAUUACUUCAAAGAAAAAGCUGCUGGACAAAAGCAGGACUAAAGAUGCUAGAAAAGCAGAAGAUGAGACGUGAAAGAGUUCCUCUCAAGCACCGAAACAGAAGUUCAGCGACCAAAAUAAAAUAAUGGAAGGUGAAAUGUCAAAAACCCUGAAUUGCUUCUGAGGUACUGGUGUUUGAAAAAUUUGUGGAAGAUGAAGUGUCAAAGCAACCCGUUAUUGCUUCGGAGGUACUGGUGUUGGAAACAUAAGCACUAAAUAUGCUAGCAAAGCAGAAAAAGAGGUACACAGAGUUCUAAUCAGGCACUGAACAAAAGUGGAUAAAACAGAAGGUCAGCGACCAUAUUAGAAUAGUGGAAGAUGAAAUGUCAAAACAACCCGUAAGUGCUUCGGAGGUACUAGUGUUGGAAAAAUUCGUGGAAGAUGAAGUGUCAACACAAACCGUAAUUGCUUCAGAGGUACUGUUGUUUGAAAAAUCUAGCAAAGCAGAAGACAAGGCACUAAAGACUUGAAAUUUCAACAGAGUUCUGCUCAAGCACUGAACAAAAGUCAAUCGACCAUAACAGAGAAGUGGCAGUUAAAAUUUCAAUACAUACCAAUGUGUCAGUGAACAAGGUUCUGACAAACUCAGCUCCACAACCCAAUAUGUCAAGCUAUUCUCUCCCAUUCCAAUACAUUCUGAUUAAGGUGGCAAACUUUUGAAGGAUUUAAGUUAUAAUAAUGAUUUUAAUAGCAUGAGUAGUGAUGUUAGUAUAGGCAGUCCUGGUUAAAUGUCAUCAAAAGACGGAAAAUAUUCAGAUCAACUUGGUGAUAGUCACACUUGUCCAUCUACAGUCGAAGAACAUAAUGGAGGAUUUGGAGUUGAAGUGAAUGACUGUUGUCCUUCUAUCUUGUGACCCAAAUAAAAAGUCAUCUGAUUAAAAAGCGAGAUUCCAUUCUCCGGCAGCCGACUAUUCUUUUUCUGGAUGUCCUAAUAGGUAUAAAUCAGAUCCAAGGACCAUUCGGAAUUCUGAUCUUCCUAUUGCAAUUUACAACAACCGUUCUUUUGCUGAUCAUGACAAACUCUUUUGAAAGAAUGAUGUUGAGCAAUCACGUGAAGCUAAAAAAUUGGCAGUCUGUAGUGUUGGGGAUGACUUUGGGAAAUUCCCUCAAGAGAAAGCUGGUGAACAAUCACCUGAUGCUCAAAUUGAAAUGGCAGAUUUUAGUGCUGUGGGUAAUUUAAACCUUGUUCUAAUUAAUAAGUUCAUAAGCAUGUGGAAGGAGACAUGCCAGGUGCACUCUGUUAACGAGGUAUUUUGAAGAAAGUUCAUACGUAUUUUGAAAUGAUUCAUUGCAUUUAAUAAACAGAUUCUCCACUGGACUAACUACUCAUGUGCUCAAGAAUUUUAUGGGAGUGUGAGGCAUGGUUGACACACACUGCUCAUGGUGAAUUCUUCAAAUUUUCAGAGGCUAUCUGCUCUUAACUUCCUUAUGAAAUUGUCAGAGGCAAAUUGUUCUCAAUAUGUGACUCAUUUGGGUUCUUAGGAAGCAAAAUCUAGUCUCCCUCACAGCAACCAUCUUAAUUACUACUUCCAGUUUCUCUAAACCCUUAUAUCCAUCAAGAUACUUUCUUAGUUCCCACCCAAAAUCCUUACACCUCAAACCCUAGUUUUCCAUUCUAAGGAGACCCCAACACUUUUACCUACUUCAUCAAACCCCAUUAAAAUUCUGGAUAGGAUUGGAAGUGCAUUCCGCAAUUUCAGUUUACGGUUGAGUUCAUAUAUUCCUGUAAAGGGAAAUGUAUCAAGCCUGGAGUGGUUCUUGAUGGUUUUAGCAAGUAAAGAAUACGGUGCAGUGAAAGAAAGACUUGGUGUUACGAUUCAGAACUUGAAGUUUUUGAAAGGAUUUUCAAUUAUUAUAUGCACCAUCUCAAGGAAGAAAGGAGGUUGCAGUUUAUGCAUCACUGCCUAAGAAGGCAAAUAAAACAUUAACUUCAACUUAUCCAUGCAUUGGAUUAUUUAGUGUCGCUGGUUGACUGCUGGUGGGAUUUUGAAGAAAUUUGGUACAUAUUUUUAUACGAAUCAUUGCACCACAUCUUUUUCACCACCAAAUGAAUUUCCUACUUAGAAAUUGAUGGCGACGAUCUGGCUGAAUAUUUGAAGAAACAGGUAUGUAGUCACUUUGCUGGAGGUAACAACUGGAUUGAAGUGCGAUUAAAAGGAGGCUCUUGGAUCUGUUUCGCACCAUGUGCUUGCUCAGAGCACCAAUGUUAUCCGAUCUUCUGUCAUGGUGAUAUUUGGUCCUUUGCUUGCGGAUAGGUUGUUAAAUGACCAAGGGUCAAUAGCUGGAUAAAUAGAGCAGAAAGGCACAGGCUUCAAAUCCAGUUUUCCCUUUUUCAGGGAAAGCGAAAGAGCAAUUUAUCUAAAUAUGAAGUUGAUCUUCUAGCUAUUGUAAAUUUGUAAUUACUACGAUCUGUCUUUACAAAAAAGUUUAGGCUUGGAAAUGUAUUCAUAAAUGAGUGAUGAGCCUUGGUAGGUGAUCCAACAUAAUCAGUUGUACAGCUAAGAGGUCUAGUGUAUUUUAAAGGGGUAGGUCCUUCAAUAAUACAUGGGGCACAGUUGAUCA